Odocoileus virginianus texanus is the source of this 994-nucleotide non-coding RNA. Lineage: Eukaryota; Metazoa; Chordata; Mammalia; Artiodactyla; Cervidae. The record is from RefSeq and is a predicted model, not a curated record.
CCCCCACCUGGAGAACAUGAAAGCACCCCACCCCAGAAUUCUGGGUGGAACACACACACACACAGCAAAGGCCAGAAGCCCAGAAGGAGACAGAGCUGGGGUUAGGGUGCUUCCCUUGGCAGAUAACAGCAGAUUAAGGCACUCCACGGUCCCAUAAAUAAAGCUGAAGCUCCAGCAUGCAAUGAAUGGCCCCCGAGUCCUACCUGCCUUUGUGGCAGCCACUUCUAAUAAACAGAUGGCCCAAACGUCACUGCCCUGACCUCAUCCCCACAAUAAAGUAGACUAGUAAGAGUACACUUGGAACUGAUGUACAAAAACAGCACGAAAGAGCUACUGAGGACCACCAUCACUAAGAUGUACAAACUGUCGCCCUGGGCUCGAAUUCCCAACCCCCAGAACCCAGCACCUCCUCCCCUCAACCCCAGUUUCCAGAAGAACUCACGUCUCUGGUUUUCGGAUCAAACCAGUGGCUGAUAUCUUGGCCUGCCACUUCCACGAUGGGUUUCAGCAGCAAGUCUCCUGGGAAGGAGCAGCCGCCGUCAGUGCUAGCCAUCUAAGAAUCACACACCCCCGACGCUGGCCCAAAUUGUGGCCCUUACCCUUGUACUCCUGUGCCAACGGGGUUAGGUUGUACACGUUUCCCAGGAUUCAGACGGGGAGCGCGAGGAGGACUCGCCGGCUGCGCGCGCUAGGCAGCAGCUGGAGGCGCUGCUUAACAAGACUAUGCGCAUUCGCAUGACAGAUGGACGGACCCUGGUCGGUUGCUUCCUCUGCACCGACCGUGACUGCAACGUUAUCCUGGGCUCGGCGCAGGAGUUCCUCAAGCCGUCGGAUUCCUUCUCUGCCGGGGAACCCCGUGUCUUGGGUCUGGCCAUGGUACCUGGACACCACAUCGUUUCUAUUGAGGUGCAAAGAGAGAGCCUGGCGGGGCCUCCCUAUCUCUGAGCCCUGUCGCACAUGCCUUUCAGUCCUCAUUAAACCUGUAACUGACUGU